This 67-nucleotide transfer RNA is filed under the name Taibaiella sp. RNAcentral describes it as "tRNA-Met". Lineage: Bacteria; Pseudomonadati; Bacteroidota; Chitinophagia; Chitinophagales; Chitinophagaceae. The record is from RNAcentral.
GUUGUUAAGUAGUUGCCGCUGACUCAUAAUCAGGGGGUCCUUGGUUCAAGUCCAAGUGGGACCACCA